This 455-nucleotide ribosomal RNA is filed under the name uncultured bacterium. RNAcentral describes it as "partial 16S ribosomal RNA". It matches the Rfam family "Bacterial small subunit ribosomal RNA", at positions 355 to 800 of the family's 1533-position model. The record is from RNAcentral.
UGGGGAAUAUUGCACAAUGGGCGCAAGCCUGAUGCAGCCAUGCCGCGUGUGUGAAGAAGGCCUUCGGGUUGUAAAGCACUUUCAGCGAGGAGGAAGGCAGUCGUGUUAAUAGCACGGUUGAUUGGCGUUACUCGCAGAAGAAGCACCGGCUAACUCCGUGCCAGCAGCCGCGGUAAUACGGAGGGUGCAAGCGUUAAUCGGAAUUACUGGGCGUAAAGCGCACGCAGGCGGUUUGUUAAGUCAGAUGUGAAAUCCCCGCGCUUAACGUGGGAACUGCAUUUGAAGCUGGCAAGCUAGAGUCUUGUAGAGGGGGGUAGAAUUCCAGGUGUAGCGGUGAAAUGCGUAGAGAUCUGGAGGAAUACCGGUGGCGAAGGCGGCCCCCUGGACAAAAGACUGACGCUCAGGUGCGAAAGCGUGGGGAGCAAACAGGAUUAGAGUACCCUGGUAGUCCACGC